Molecule: ribosomal RNA, 246 nt
Filed under: uncultured bacterium
Lineage: Bacteria
Description: partial 16S ribosomal RNA
Rfam family: Bacterial small subunit ribosomal RNA
Source: RNAcentral
GGAGGAUCCGAGCGUUAUCCGGAUUUAUUGGGUGUAAAGGGUGCGUAGACGGGAAAUUAAGUUAGUUGUGAAAUCCCUCGGCUUAACUGAGGAACUGCAACUAAAACUGAUUUUCUUGAGUACUGGAGAGGAAAGUGGAAUUCCUAGUGUAGCGGUGAAAUGCGUAGAUAUUAGGAGGAACACCAGUGGCGAAGGCGACUUUCUGGACAGUAACUGACGUUGAGGCACGAAAGUGUGGGGAGCAAA